This 460-nucleotide ribosomal RNA is filed under the name uncultured bacterium. Its description in RNAcentral is "partial 16S ribosomal RNA". It matches the Rfam family "Bacterial small subunit ribosomal RNA", at positions 338 to 795 of the family's 1533-position model. The record is from RNAcentral.
CCUACGGGUGGCAGCAGUGAGGAAUAUUGGUCAAUGGGCGCAAGCCUGAACCAGCCAAGUAGCGUGAAGGAUGACUGCCCUAUGGGUUGUAAACCUCUUUUAUAAGGGAGUAAAGUGAGGCACGUGUGCCGUUUUGUAUGUACUUUAUAAAUAAGGAUCGGCUAACUCCGUGCCAGCAGCCGCGGUAAUACGGAGGAUCCGAGCGUUAUCCGGAUUUAUUGGGGUUAAAGGGGGUGUAGAUGGGGUGUUAAGGCAGUUGUGAAAGUUUGCGGGUCAACCGUAAAAUUGCAAUUGAUACUGGCAGUCUUGAGUACAGUAGAGGUAGGCGGAAUUCGUGGUGUAGCGGUGAAAUGCUUAGAUAUCACGAAGAACUCCGAUUGCGAAGGCAGCUUACUAAACUGCCACUGACAUUGAUGCUCGAAAGUGUGGGUAUCAAACAGGAUUAGAUACCCUGGUAGUC